RNAcentral lists this ribosomal RNA (253 nucleotides) under uncultured bacterium. RNAcentral's name for it is "partial 16S ribosomal RNA". It matches the Rfam family "Bacterial small subunit ribosomal RNA", at positions 524 to 776 of the family's 1533-position model. The record is from RNAcentral.
UACGAAGGUGGCAAGCGUUGUUCGGAUUUACUGGGCGUACAGGGAGCGUAGGCGGUUGGAUAAGCCCUCCGUGAAAUCUCCAGGCUUAACCUGGAAAGUGCAAAGGGGACUGUUCAGCUAGAGGAUGGGAGAGGAGCGCGGAAUUCCCGGUGUAGCGGUGAAAUGCGUAGAGAUCGGGAGGAAGGCCGGUGGCGAAGGCGGCGCUCUGGAACAUUUCUGACGCUGAGGCUCGAAAGCGUGGGGAGCAAACAGG